UGAGCAAUCUGCCCUUCUCUUCGGAAUAAGCGUUGGAAUCGACGUCUAAUGCCGAAUACGACCUCCUUUCGCAUGAUCGGAGGUGGAAAGCUCCGGCGGAGAAGGAUGAGCUCGCGGCCUAUCAGCUAGUUGGUGUGGGUAAUAGCCCACCAAGGUGACGACGGGUAGCCGGCCUGAGAGGGUGACCGGCCACACUGGGACUGAGACACGGCCCAGACUCCUACGGGAGCAG
This 232-nucleotide ribosomal RNA is filed under the name uncultured bacterium. RNAcentral's name for it is "partial 16S ribosomal RNA". It matches the Rfam family "Bacterial small subunit ribosomal RNA", at positions 118 to 347 of the family's 1533-position model. The record is from RNAcentral.